GAUAGGGAAGCCCUUCGGGGCGAAGUAGCUGAUUUCACACUGUCAAGAAAAGCUUCUAUCGAGUUUAAAGGCGCCCGUACCGUAAACCGACACAGGUGGGUGAGGAGAGUAUCCUAAGGCCAGCGAGAGAACUAUUGUUAAGGAACUCGGCAAAAUGACCCCGUAACUUAGGGAGAAGGGGUGCCUGUCUAUGACAGGCCGCAGAGAAUAGGCCCAAGCGACUGUUUACCAAAAACACAGGUUUCUGCUAAGUCGCAAGACGAUGUAUAGGAGCUGACGCCUGCCCGGUGCUGGAAGGUUAAGGGGAUCUGUUAGAGCAAUCGAAGCAGUGAACUUAAGCCCCAGUAAACGGCGGCCGUAACGAUAACGGUCCUAAGGUAGCGAAGUUCCUUGUCGGGUAAGUUCCGACCCGCACGAAAGGCGUAACGAUUUGGGCACUGUCUCAACAAUAGACUCGGUGAAAUUGUAAUCCCGGUGAAGAUGCCGGGUACCUGCGACAGGACGGAAAGACCCCAUGGAGCUUUACUGAGCUUGACGUUGGGUCUUGGUACUACAUGUACAGGAUAGGUGGGAGACUAUGAAGCAUGGACGCCAGUCUGUGUGGAGUCAUCCUUGGGAUACCACCCUUGUAGUACUGGGAUCCUAACCAUAGGCCUUGAAUCAGGUCUUGGAACACCGUCAGGUGGGCAGUUUGACUGGGGCGGUCGCCUCCUAAAAAGUAACGGAGGCGCUCAAAGGUUUCCUCAGCACGGUCGGAAAUCGUGCGAAGAGUGUAGAGGCAAAAGGAAGCUUGAUUGCAAGACAUACAGGUCGAGCAAGGACGAAAGUCGGACUUAGUGAUCCGGUGGUACCGCAUGGAAGGGCCAUCGCUCAACGGAUAAAAGCUACCCUGGGGAUAACAGGCUUAUCUCCCCCAAGAGUCCACAUCGACGGGGAGGUUUGGCACCUGGAUGUCGGCUCAUCACAUCCUGGGGCUGUAGUAGGUCCCAAGGGUUGGGCUGUUCGCCCAUUAAAGUGGUACGCGUGCUGGGUUCAGAACGUCGUGAGACAGUUCGGUCCCUAUCCGUCGCAGGCGUAGGAAAUUUGAGAAGACCUGUCCUUAGUACGAGAGGACCGGGAUGGACGUACCUCUGGUGUACCAGUUGUUCUGCCAAGGGCAUGGCUAGGUAGCUAUGUACGGAAUGGAAAGCGCUGAAAGCAUCUAAGCGCGAAGCCAACUUCAAGAUAAGA
Molecule: ribosomal RNA, 1230 nt
Filed under: metagenome
Description: bacterial LSU rRNA
Rfam family: Bacterial large subunit ribosomal RNA
Source: RNAcentral